CAUCGCCAUCGGCGUGGGCGCGGCCGUCGCGCUGCUGGCGCCGGCGCCGGCCGCCAAGCUGGUGUUCUGGCCGCUGUUCAACCUGCUGGUGCUGA
This 95-nucleotide transfer RNA is filed under the name Duganella sp. HH105. RNAcentral describes it as "tRNA-Ala". Lineage: Bacteria; Pseudomonadati; Pseudomonadota; Betaproteobacteria; Burkholderiales; Oxalobacteraceae. The record is from RNAcentral.